This 1281-nucleotide long non-coding RNA is filed under the name Anas platyrhynchos platyrhynchos (common mallard). RNAcentral describes it as "lncRNA (ENSAPLG00000020832.1)". Lineage: Eukaryota; Metazoa; Chordata; Aves; Anseriformes; Anatidae. The record is from RNAcentral.
CUUAGGGGAAACUGUGAAGUUCUCCUAUUCCCAACUGUCUCUUCUGCAGAUUCCAUCAUGGAGUUUGUCCUUACAUGGUUACAGAUGAAUCAGGCUUCACUGGAGAGUGAAUUACAAGAUAUAUAAUCGACUUACAGGACUGAAAAAAGGCCAAUAUAUUAAAACAGGAAACAAUACAUGGUGCACAAUGAGAAAAGAGAAAGUGACUGAAGAUUUUGGAAAAGUCUAACUUCAUCUGUCAUGCAAAAAUAGGUGGUCGUUCCUUCUGCUUCUACAUAACAGCAUGGGAUCCUAUAGUUGGAAUGAGGUAUCAGAAGAUCUAGUGGUUCGGUGUGCUUUUGUUAAAUGGCAAGUUUUUAGAGAGGACCAAAGGCCUGCCUGGAGGGUUUCAGAGGUAGAGGGAAGGAAAACUGGCAACUGUCUGGCAACUGGUGUCAGCCUACCUACAAAUAACCUGCUUACUGCUGAGAUUCAACUGUAUGGUAAUUGCAGCAUAACCAAUUCAUUCAAGUCUUGGAGAAGUGCUUUUGUCAUUUUUAAUCUAAAUAAAUCCCUUCAACUGUUAGGGGAAAAUGCAGUAUUGUUUUGGGGUGUGUAUUUUUUGAAAAUGUAUGCAUUUUUCUGAAUCUCCAGGUAGAUUGCUUAACCUCUGCAGUUCAGUAACAUAAGCAAACCUUUUUAACUGGCAGCAGCACUGCCCUGGAGGCGCAUCUUCUGCAGAACUAACACAGCUUCUGCCGGGUAUAACAGGACUCGCUCAGGCUUCAGCAGUCCCUCUUCUGGUGAGUGUGUGAACAGCUAUUCCACGAGUUCAGGUAGACAUUCCUUUAUUUUUAUCCCGAUACUCUUUGUUGGAUUGAUUGACUUCUGCUGCAAUGCAUGCAUUCUAUCUCCAAGCUUUAUGAGCGCCCUAACACAUUUAUCUCUGCAUUUUCUUCUUUAAAAGAAGGGUGUUGUGUUUUAUAAAAUCACAGAAGAAUGUUCUGCACAAACUUUUCUGAUUUGUAGUACUUAUUUCUGGGUGAGGAAGUGGAAGUGAGUUGAUAGUGGUUGCAGGCUACUCCAUUUACUAAAGCGCAUAUAAGUAUAUCCUGGUUUCAGUUAGGACAGGGUUAAUUUUCUUCCUAGUAGCUGGUAGAAUGCUAUGUUUUGGCUUAGGAUGAGAAGAGUGCUGAUAACACAGCCCAAAGUCAUUGCAACCUUUUUUGUUCUCUCUAUUUAGUCUUAUCACUAGGUAUUUUAACUAAUAAAGAUUGAAAAAGAAGGCUCUAGAGUUAAUAU